RNAcentral lists this ribosomal RNA (254 nucleotides) under uncultured bacterium. Its description in RNAcentral is "partial 16S ribosomal RNA". It matches the Rfam family "Bacterial small subunit ribosomal RNA", at positions 524 to 776 of the family's 1533-position model. The record is from RNAcentral.
UACGUAGGGGGCAAGCGUUGUCCGGAUUUAUUGGGCGUAAAGAGCGUGUAGGCGGCCUGAAAGGUCAGCUGUGAAAACUCGAGGCUCAACCUCGAGACGUCGGUUGAAACCAUCUGGCUAGAGUCCGGAAGAGGAGUGUGGAAUUCCCGGUGUAGCGGUGAAAUGCGCAGAUAUCGGGAAGAACACCGGUGGCGAAGGCGGGGUCUCUGGGCAGUAACUGACGCUGAGAAGCGAAAGCGUGGGUAGCGAACAGA